CUUCACUGUAACCCUACUAUCUCUUUUAAUUCAGAAUUUCAGAAAAUCUUGGUUACUGCUAAAGACAGUGGGAUUAUUUCACAAAAAGAAUUUAGAUUUGUUUUUGUUUCAAAAAAUCCUGUUAUCCCUAUUUUUAAUUUUCUUCCUAAAACCCAUAAACGUCUCCCCAAUCCACCAGGUCACCUCAUCAUUAGUGGGGUAAAUUCAUUAACUGCGAAUUUGUCUGCCUAUGUGGACUCUUUUCUUCAGAAAUAUGCCCAAGGGGCACCUUCGUACAUUAGAGAUACCAAGUCCUUUUUACAGGAACUAGAAAAUAUAGAGUGGGAUCCGGAAUACAGUUGGGCAACAUUGGAUGUGACCUCCUUGUAUACUGUGAUCAGCCACGUAUCGGGAUUGGAAGCACUUGAUUACUAUAUGACCAGAGAUACUGAGUUACCUAUGAGUCAGAAGGAAUUUAUUUUAUCCUCUGUUCAAUUUAUU
Non-coding RNA from Pelobates cultripes (western spadefoot toad), 480 nucleotides. The record is from the annotation of a GenBank genome assembly. Lineage: Eukaryota; Metazoa; Chordata; Amphibia; Anura; Pelobatidae.